Manihot esculenta (cassava) is the source of this 746-nucleotide long non-coding RNA. RefSeq lists it as uncharacterized. The transcript is spliced from 2 exons. Lineage: Eukaryota; Viridiplantae; Streptophyta; Magnoliopsida; Malpighiales; Euphorbiaceae. The record is from RefSeq and is a predicted model, not a curated record.
UUUAUUUAGAUCUCUCUUUGAGAAAAGAGAUUUUUUUUUUUUUUUUUUCGAGGAGUUGUCGUUUGUCCUUCCAAAUUAGCCGGCUUUCUACCUCAUUUUUUAAGCUUUCCUCUGCCUCCUCCGGUGGAGGGAGCCCUCUCUCCACGCGAUUGAUGGUUACGUCUCCCCCUCACCGAGCAGAGAUAUGUAGAUAUUAUUUGAUCUAGAGGCUCUCCUAACUAGUUCUGGGAGACAUAUAUCUUCGCUAUGGAAGGAGAGUGACCUGUGGACUACGAUGGAGGUCUUUCCCCCAUUGCCGACGUCAUUCGCUUAGCUCUUCUCAUUGACUCACAUGGUGGGGGGGAUUGUGUGACUAAGGAUGAUUUCCUCUCCCGAUGUACCAGCCUUCCUCUAUGUUUCACCGAUGAGAUUGCAUGUGUCGUCUUUGUUUUAGUCUCGUUGUUCCUUCCUUCUGGAUACUGGUGUUGUUGCAUUUGCUGUGUUUUCUCCCUUGUUCUUCAGUGCAUUUCAUAGCCUCAUGGAUUGCCAUAGAGGGAGCUCUUUGUUCGUCAGUUUGGCUGCACCACUGUUGAUGGCUGAUGGUUGGUGUUUUGAAUCAAGUUGGUUGUUUGGUGGGCUAGGGUUCUAGUACUUUGUUGGGCUUUUAUUUUUUAAAGCCUUAGUAACCUUUUAGAUGUUGUAUUUUUUUCGGUUUCAAUACCUUUAUUUUUGAGAAAAAAAGAUAUCUAUAUAAAUUUGUUAAUAUA